RNAcentral lists this transfer RNA (87 nucleotides) under Acinetobacter pittii. Its description in RNAcentral is "tRNA-Leu". It matches the Rfam family "tRNA". From Rfam's summary of the family: Transfer RNA (tRNA) molecules are approximately 80 nucleotides in length. Lineage: Bacteria; Pseudomonadati; Pseudomonadota; Gammaproteobacteria; Moraxellales; Moraxellaceae. The record is from RNAcentral.
GCCCGGGUGGUGAAAUAGGUAGACACAGGGGAUUUAAAAAUCCCCCGCCCACAAAGCGUGCCGGUUCGAGUCCGGCCCCGGGCACCA